UCUGGUUGAUCCUGCCAGUAGUUAUAUGAUUGCCAUGCAUGUCUAAGCCAUGCAUGUCUAAGUACACACGAAUUAAAAGUGAAACCGCAAAAGGCUCAUUAUAUCAGUUAUGGUUCCUUAGAUCGUUAACAGUUACUUGAAUAACUGUGGUAAUUCUAGAGCUAAUACAUGCAAUUAAAACACAGACCUUCUGGGACGUGUGCUUUUAUUAGACUAAUACCAAGCGAUCAAUUGAUCGUUAUAUUGGUUGAACUCUAGAUAACAUGCAGAUCGUAUGGUCUUGUACGGACGACAGAUCUUUCAAAUGUGUGCCCUAUCAACUUUUGAUGGUAGUAUCUAGGACUACCAUGGUUUCAACGGGUAAAGGGGAAUCAGGGUUCGAUUCCGGAGAGGGAGCCUGAGAAACGGCUACCACAUCUAAGGAAGGCAGCAGGCGCGUAAAUUACCCACUCCCAGCUCGUGGAGGUAGUGACGAAAAAUAACAAUACAGGACUCAUAUCCGAGGCCCUGUAAUUGGAAUGAGUAUACUUUUAAUCCUUUAACAAGGACCAAUUGGAGGGCAAGUCUGGUGCCAGCAGCCGCGGUAAUUCCAGCUCCAAUAGCGUAUAUUAAAGUUGUUGCGGUUAAAACGUUCGUAGUUGAACUUGUGCUUCAUACGGGGUAGUACAUACAUUAGUAGUUAGUACUAUACCUUUAUGUAUGUAAGCGUAUUAUCGUUGGAGUUCUUAUAUGUAAUAAAGUACUUGUACUUUUUUAUUUAUUCCUCCUAUUUAAAACCUACAUUAGUGCUCUUAAUCGAGUGUUUUUGUGGGCCGGUACAAUGACUUUGAAAAAAUUGGAGUGCUUAAAGCAGGCUUCAAAUGCCUGAAUAUUCUGUGCAUGGGAUAAUGAAAUAAGACCUCUGUUCUGCAUUCAUUGGUUUUCAGAUCAAGAGGUAAUGAUUAAUAGAAGCAGUUUGGGGGCAUUAGUAUUACGACGCGAGAGGUGAAAUUCUUGGACCGUCGUAAGACUAACUUAAGCAAAAGCAUUUGCCAAAGAUGUUUUCAUUAAUCAAGAACGAAAGUUAGAGGUUCGAAGGCGAUCAGAUACCGCCCUAGCUCUAACCAUAAACGAUGUCAGCUAGCAAUUGGGUGUAGCUACUUUUAUGGCUCUCUCAGUCGCUUCCCGGGAAACCAAAGCUUUUGGGCUCCGGGGGAAGUAUGGUUGCAAAGCUGAAACUUAAAGGAAUUGACGAAAGGGCACCACCAGGAGUGGAGCCUGCGGCUUAAUUUGACUCAACACGGGAAAACUUACCAGGUCCGAACAUAAGUGUGUAUGACAGAUUGAUAGCUCUUUCUCGAAUCUAUGGGUGGUGGUGCAUGGCCGUUCUUAGUUCGUGGAGUGAUUUGUCUGGUUAAUUCCGAUAACGAACGAGACUCAAAUAUAUUAAAUAGAUAUCUUCAGGAUUAUGGUGUUGAAGCUUAUAUUGCCUUCAUUCAUGGUAGCAGUAAAAUGUUUAUUGUGUUUGAAUGUGUUUAUAUAGGUGGAGCCGUACC
Molecule: ribosomal RNA, 1535 nt
Filed under: Drosophila willistoni
Lineage: Eukaryota; Metazoa; Arthropoda; Insecta; Diptera; Drosophilidae
Description: SSU rRNA
Rfam family: Eukaryotic small subunit ribosomal RNA
Source: RNAcentral